RNAcentral lists this ribosomal RNA (700 nucleotides) under uncultured bacterium. RNAcentral describes it as "bacterial SSU rRNA". It matches the Rfam family "Bacterial small subunit ribosomal RNA", at positions 70 to 756 of the family's 1533-position model. The record is from RNAcentral.
AGAGAGGAGCUUGCUCUUCUUGGAUGAGUUGCGAACGGGUGAGUAACGCGUAGGUAACCUGCCUUGUAGCGGGGGAUAACUAUUGGAAACGAUAGCUAAUACCGCAUAACAAUGGAUGACACAUGUCAUUUAUUUGAAAGGGGCAAUUGCUCCACUACAAGAUGGACCUGCGUUGUAUUAGCUAGUAGGUGAGGUAAUGGCUCACCUAGGCGACGAUACAUAGCCGACCUGAGAGGGUGAUCGGCCACACUGGGACUGAGACACGGCCCAGACUCCUACGGGAGGCAGCAGUAGGGAAUCUUCGGCAAUGGGGGCAACCCUGACCGAGCAACGCCGCGUGAGUGAAGAAGGUUUUCGGAUCGUAAAGCUCUGUUGUAAGUCAAGAACGGGUGUGAGAGUGGAAAGUUCACACUGUGACGGUAGCUUACCAGAAAGGGACGGCUAACUACGUGCCAGCAGCCGCGGUAAUACGUAGGUCCCGAGCGUUGUCCGGAUUUAUUGGGCGUAAAGCGAGCGCAGGCGGUUUGAUAAGUCUGAAGUUAAAGGCUGUGGCUCAACCAUAGUUCGCUUUGGAAACUGUCAAACUUGAGUGCAGAAGGGGAGAGUGGAAUUCCAUGUGUAGCGGUGAAAUGCGUAGAUAUAUGGAGGAACACCGGUGGCGAAAGCGGCUCUCUGGUCUGUAACUGACGCUGAGGCUCGA